This 68-nucleotide transfer RNA is filed under the name human oral metagenome. It matches the Rfam family "tRNA". Rfam says of the family: Transfer RNA (tRNA) molecules are approximately 80 nucleotides in length. Their secondary structure includes four short double-helical elements and three loops (D, anti-codon, and T loops). The record is from RNAcentral.
CCUAUAACUCAGUGGAUUAGAGUGUUUGGCUUCGAACCAAAAAGUCGGGAGUUCGAAUCUCUCUAGGU